Molecule: long non-coding RNA, 442 nt
Organism: Fundulus heteroclitus (mummichog)
Lineage: Eukaryota; Metazoa; Chordata; Actinopteri; Cyprinodontiformes; Fundulidae
Exons: 3
Source: RefSeq, a predicted model, not a curated record
CACUGCCCAAAAGACUUCCUACCUAUUGUGCCAGCAAAACCGUGUGUGCAUGAUGGAGACUGCAAUGAAGGGGAGAAAUGUUGUGUUUUUUAUGGAAACCCAGUCUGUGCGCCUGCCCUUUUGUCCGACCAAGGGUGCCCGGUAAUUGAUCCAUUAGAUGGGAUUUGUGCUGAACUCUGCAGCAGUGACAGGGACUGUCCAGUGGGUCAAAUGUGCUGCUCCAAUGGGUGCGGACAUCAGUGCAUUUCAACUGCACCCGUGAAGCCCGGAAGAUGUGGCAAUCAGGUAUUCACUCCCUGGUGUUAUUUUUUCUGUAAUCAUGAUGGUGACUGUCCAGGCGAAAAGAAGUGCUGUCCGACAACAUGUGGCCGUGCGUGUAAACAUCCUCAUCCUCCUGCAAAUGUUUAAUACGAAUCUGUCAAAUAAAAAUAUCUACUAAUUA